CACACUAUCAAGGUUACCGAGUACUUGCCCUGCUCACUUUGCACAUAUUUAUUUUCUGUUAUCUUCACUCACACACUGAUCUCCUGCAGUUCAUCUCAACAACAAAUAGACACUUCAUAGACCAGCAUGGACUUCACAAAGACUCUGAAAAACAACAGGAAACGCAUUAUUGACUGGGACGAGGCUGGGAUAAAUCCUGACUGAAAGAUUUCAUGAAUGUCUUCAUUUCAUGACUGUCAGUCUGUAUAUGGUGUAACCUCAGUGACACCUCAAGCCUCUUUUCUGCUGCCUGCCCCAGCUCUAGAUUCUGC
This is a long non-coding RNA of Ictalurus punctatus (channel catfish), 311 nucleotides long. The record is from Ensembl. Lineage: Eukaryota; Metazoa; Chordata; Actinopteri; Siluriformes; Ictaluridae.